Long non-coding RNA from Astatotilapia calliptera (eastern happy), 1425 nucleotides. NCBI's taxonomy places the organism in Eukaryota, Metazoa, Chordata, Actinopteri, Cichliformes, Cichlidae. The record is from Ensembl.
GUCGAUUAAGUCCUGCCUAAAGUGAACUAAUAGCCACUCUUAGGUGGAAGAGGUUUCUAGAUUUCCUUUUCUAAAAUUCUCAUAUCCCAACACAUUUUUCAAAGCGAUUUAUGCACAUGCUUUCCUUUGAAGGCAGGCAUAAGUAAGAUGUAAUGAUUGCCUGUUUAAGCAUAAGGAGCACUGCUAUAGAGGUCUUUGGACACCAAACAUAACCAUAGUAAACAUGGCCCAAAGCAGGUGCCUUUGAAAACUUUUAAUAUCUGCAGAAAUAAAAGACUAAAUGAUGGACCCGUUUGUGCUACCAUCAUAAAGGGUUGUUUGAUUACAAUGUUUUCUUGAUGUUACAUUUAUUUUUUCUGUCUAAAUUUGCCAGUCUUUUGAAAGUGGCAGGCACAUUUUACAGAUCUGCUAUUUUUUUCUUUAUUCUCACUGGUAUUCUCCACUAAAUUACAUUUCUAGGUCAUGGAUAUUUUCUUUUUUUUCUUUUUUGUAUUUUUUUUGUGCAUGAAGACAUAAAGACUUCCCUUUUGAAACCUGACCCAUGGGGUCACUGUGGCAUUUAUUUAUUCUGCUAUAGCAGUGCUAGUUACAAUAAGUUCAACUAUAACAUAGGGCUAGGCGAUAUAUCGAGUUUUUUUAAAAAUAUCGAUAUAUUUUUAUAAGAGAUAUGAGAUGUGACAACAUCCUUUAUAUUGAUAUAGUCUAUGUUACGUUAUAAUUAUAGUUGUGGAGCCGCAAGUUUGCCUCCCUUUUGUCCACUUUUGUCUUUACGCAAUGUUACUCGACCUCGCCUCUCUCCUUCACUGAACACAACUCCCCCUCCUCCCCCAUCACUUCACCCGCAGGCAGUGACAAGAUGGACACGGCAAAUCUCCAUUAACGACUUACUGCACAUUGCCCCGUGCGUUGGGCUGGACGGCGUCAACGUGUUAACGAGCUAAACACGCUAACGAGCUAACCAUGCUAACGCCAUGCACGGCCUGAAAUCCUUUCAUUUUCUCAAAAGUUGACAGCGCGACUUAUGUAUGAAUUCUGGUUGCGCUUGAUGACCACGAACCGAUUUUAUGUGGCACACAGCGCUCAGCAAUCUGUCAAAAAAUGUUUUAGUAUGACUUUGGUAAGUUACGGAACGGAGCUGCACUGCUUGAUGGAUUGUCGGAGCAUUACGGCUACCGAGGAGCCUCGCGUAGUAAUACGUACUGUGCUUCAACGUAAUAUUACCGUACUGUGUGUGUAUAAGGACCAUAAAUGGCACCUGCUAAGAGACAUGGUUACGAAGCAGAAUUCAAACUCCAGGCUGUCAGUCACGCAGUAGAAGUUGGGAAUAGAGCAGCUGUGAAAUCUGUCCAUGUUAUUAUGCUCAGCGUCUCUUAGUUUACAUUUUGACUGCACAAUUGUGAGCUCUUUGUUAUGCAUAAAAACAAC